GAUGAAGAACGCAGCGAAAUGCGAUAAGUAAUGCGAAUUGCAGAAUUCAGUGAGUCAUCGAAUCUUUGAACGCACAUUGCGCCCUGUGGUAUUCCGCAGGGCAUGCCUGUUCGAGCGUCAUUUCAACCCUCAAGCUCUGCUUGGUGUUGGGCCCUGCCCGCUGCGGCCGGCCCUAAAGACAGUGGCGGUGCCGCCUGGCCCUGAGCGUAGUACAUCUCUCGCUCCAGUGCCCGGUGGUAGCCUGCCAGAACCCCAACUCUCGUGGUUGACCUCGGAUCAGGUAGGGAUACCCGCUGAACUUAAGCAUAUCAAUAAGCUGAGGA
RNAcentral lists this unclassified non-coding RNA (323 nucleotides) under soil metagenome. Its description in RNAcentral is "partial contains 5.8S ribosomal RNA, internal transcribed spacer 2, and large subunit ribosomal RNA". The stretch from base 1 to 120 matches the Rfam family "5.8S ribosomal RNA", at positions 35 to 154 of the family's 154-position model. The record is from RNAcentral.